Molecule: ribosomal RNA, 253 nt
Filed under: uncultured bacterium
Lineage: Bacteria
Description: partial 16S ribosomal RNA
Rfam family: Bacterial small subunit ribosomal RNA
Source: RNAcentral
GACGAACCGUGCAAAUGUUGUUCGGAAUCACUGGGCUUAAAGGGAGCGUAGGCGGGCUAUCAAGUCUGGGGUGAAAUGCCGCGGCUCAACCGUGGAACUGCCUCAGAUACUGACGGCCUCGAGGGAGAUAGGGGCAUGCGGAACUGUAGGUGGAGCGGUGAAAUGCGUUGAUAUCUACAGGAACUCCGGUGGCGAAAGCGGCGUGCUGGAUCUCUUCUGACGCUGAGGCUCGAAAGCUAGGGGAGCAAACGGG